This 885-nucleotide ribosomal RNA is filed under the name uncultured bacterium. RNAcentral's name for it is "bacterial SSU rRNA". It matches the Rfam family "Bacterial small subunit ribosomal RNA", at positions 535 to 1417 of the family's 1533-position model. The record is from RNAcentral.
CAAGCGUUACUNGGAAUCACUGGGCGUAAAGGACGCGUAGGCGGAUUAUCAAGUCUCUUGUGAAAUCUAACGGCUUAACCGUUAAACUGCUUGGGAAACUGAUAAUCUAGAGUAAGGGAGAGGCAGAUGGAAUUCUUGGUGUAGGGGUAAAAUCCGUAGAUAUCAAGAAGAAUACCUAUUGCGAAGGCGAUCUGCUGGAACUUAACUGACGCUAAUGCGUGAAAGCGUGGGGAGCAAACAGGAUUAGAUACCCUGGUAGUCCACGCCCUAAACGAUGUAUACCGGUUGUUGCUGUGCUAGUCACGGCAGUAAUCCACCUAACGGAUUAAGUAUACCGCCUGGGGAGUACGGUCGCAAGAUUAAAACUCAAAGGAAUAGACGGGGACCCGCACAAGCGGUGGAGCAUGUGGUUUAAUUCGAAGAUACGCGAAGAACCUUACCCGGACUUGAUAUCUAACAAAUCAUCCAGAGAUGGAAGAGUGUCUGCUUGCAGAAAUGUUAAGACAGGUGCUGCACGGCUGUCGUCAGCUCGUGUCGUGAGAUGUUGGGUUAAGUCCCGCAACGAGCGCAACCCACGUCAUUAGUUGCUAACGGUUCGGCCGAGCACUCUAAUGAGACUGCCUUCGUAAGGAGGAGGAAGGUGUGGACGACGUCAAGUCAUCAUGGCCCUUAUGUCCGGGGCGACACACGUGCUACAAUGGCAUAUACAAUAAGACGCAAUAUCGUAAGAUGGAGCAAAUCUAAAAAAUAUGUCCCAGUUCGGAUUGGAGUCUGCAACUCGACUCCAUGAAGCCGGAAUCGCUAGUAAUCGUAGAUCAGCCAUGCUACGGUGAAUACGUUCCCGGGUCUUGUACUCACCGCCCGUCACACCAUGGGAGUUGAUUU